GACGAACGCGGCGGCGUGCCUAAUACAUGCAAGUAGAACGCUGAAGCUUGGUGCUUGCACCGAGCGGAUGAGUUGCGAACGGGUGAGUAACGCGUAGGUAACCUGCCUGGUAGCGGGGGAUAACUAUUGGAAACGAUAGCUAAUACCGCAUAAUAGCAGUUGUUGCAUGACAACUGUUUAAAAGGUGCAAUUGCAUCACUACCAGAUGGACCUGCGUUGUAUUAGCUAGUUGGUGGGGUAACGGCUCACCAAGGCGACGAUACAUAGCCGACCUGAGAGGGUGAUCGGCCACACUGGGACUGAGACACGGCCCAGACUCCUACGGGAGGCAGCAGUAGGGAAUCUUCGGCAAUGGACGGAAGUCUGACCGAGCAACGCCGCGUGAGUGAAGAAGGUUUUCGGAUCGUAAAGCUCUGUUGUAAGAGAAAGAAACGAGUGUGAGAAGUGGAAAAGUUCCACCACUGGG
RNAcentral lists this ribosomal RNA (466 nucleotides) under Streptococcus sp. oral taxon E98. Its description in RNAcentral is "bacterial SSU rRNA". It matches the Rfam family "Bacterial small subunit ribosomal RNA", at positions 28 to 476 of the family's 1533-position model. Lineage: Bacteria; Bacillati; Bacillota; Bacilli; Lactobacillales; Streptococcaceae. The record is from RNAcentral.